Long non-coding RNA from Sinocyclocheilus anshuiensis, 315 nucleotides. RefSeq lists it as uncharacterized. The record is from RefSeq and is a predicted model, not a curated record. NCBI's taxonomy places the organism in Eukaryota, Metazoa, Chordata, Actinopteri, Cypriniformes, Cyprinidae. The transcript is spliced from 3 exons.
UUGACCUUAACUCCAACCUCUGACCUGCACAAUGCCACUGUAGCAUGUGAAGUGAGCUACGGAAGCAAAAACCUCAAUACAAGUAGGACCCUCGAAGUCAUGUAUAAAGCAGCUUUUCAAAUGCAUGUGGACAUCAAAAUGAUAACAGCAUGUUUGACGGGAAUAUCCAUUUCAGCAGUCAUCCUCUCUGUGGUUUUGUGCUGUCAAGAGUCUUGGAAAAGCAAAGACAAGACACAUGAAGUGGUGACCACAAACACAGACACUGAAGUUGUACUGGUGGUUUUUCCUGGAGAAAAUAUGAGGACAUAUAGUAUG